GGUUCUGCGCGUGCGCACGGGCGGAGGCGCGCCGAGGACUCGCUGGAGCGGGCAGGUGGAGGGAGGAGUGGUCCCGGGAGUAACUGCCAGCAGUUGGUGCGCCACAGGUCCGGGGGCGCCCGCGUUCCCGAGCCUCGGAGGCCUGAACGCGUUCGGAACGUGGCUUUUUUUGUGCGGGGGCGUGACCUGAGCCCGCCUCCUCGGCUGGGAGUGGAGGAGAAUGGGGAUCGCUGAGGCCUUUAAUUAAUCUGGUGCCUGUUGUUUGUGUGCCCGAGGAGAUGACACAUGGGGUCUCAGCACUCCUCUGCCCUCACAUUUUGUCAGCGAAAGAAGGAUGACAACCCGGAGGACUUGCUGGCUGAUAGAGAUCAGGAGGAAGCCAUCGCUCAGUUCCCCUAUGUGGAGUUCACUGGGAGAAAUAGCAUCACCUGUCACACCUGCCAAGGAGCAGGCUACAUCCCAGCAGCUUUUCUUAUCCUGUCUCUACAUUUACCCGUUCCUUCAUCCAACCAAAAGUGUACGUUUUAGUGUCUAAGCCCAGCUGAAUCUCAGCUGUGCCAGUUGACGGCGAAAUGUGACAAGAAGAGGAAGGGCCACUCAUACCUGGGGUUUACAGAAUGAGUCUGUGUUUGCUGCUUUUCUAGAGCAAGUCAAUGAGUUGGUGGCUUUGAUCCCCCACAGUGACCAGAGGCUGCGUCCUCAGAGAACAAAACAGUAUGUCCUCCUGUCGGUCCUGCUGUGUCUCCUGGCAUCUGGCCUGGUGUUCUUCUUUCUGUUUCCACACUCGGUCCUCGUGGACGAUAACGGCAUCAAAGUGACAAAAGUCACGUUUAAUGAACAGGACUCCCUUGUGGUCCUUGAUGUCACGGCCACCCUGAAGAUCAGGAACUCCAACUUCUAUCCUGUGGCGGUCACCAACCUGUUCAGCCAGGUCCAGUACAUGAAGGCUGUGGUCGGCUCGUACACAACCACGAAUGUCUCACUCAUUGCCCCUAGGAGUGAGCACCUGGUGAAUUUUACCGUGAAGGCUGAGGUGGGAGGACCGUCUUCCUAUGUGUACUUCUACUGCACACUCCCUGCCAUCCGGGUACACAACAUUGUGAUCUUCAUGAGGACUUCUGUGAAGAUUUCAUACAUUGGCCACAUAUCCCAGAGCACCUUGGAGACACAGCACUAUGUGGAUUGUGGGGUGAAUUCCACAGCUGCUCAGAGCCUGUUCUUGGUUCCUCGGGGGCCACACCUGUAGAAGGAAGCCUAACAUCUGUCCCUAUGGCUGGCCCAUUUACCACAUGGUAUAAGUAGAGGAGGAAGAAGAAACCCGCAGAAAGCAUCCUCCCACACUUAGGGGAAAGCCGCCCCUUCCAACGAAACCACUGUCCAGUGCCUAGUCUGUGCCUAGCAAAUAGUUAGCACUCAACUACAGGUUGAAGAAUUGGAUUCAGAUAUUCUGGCUGCUCUUGAGUCAUUAUAAGUUGAGAUGAACCAGGGUUCCAGGUUUUCAGACCAGAGUAACAUGAAGGUAGGUUGCUAGUGCAGCUGCAGACGUAUGGGUGUGGUGUCCAGGACACCCACCCGUGAGGAGCCCUCAGCGGCUGCCUCUGCAUCUGUUCCCUAAUACCUCCCCCUCCCGCCUCACCCCACCCCCGCUUUUUGGAAAGUUUUUGGCGUUUCUUUUCCUUCCCCAUACAAAGUGAUUACAGUUUCCCCCGCAAGGGUCUAUCGAAGGGCUUGACGGACCUUUGAUCCACUGGCUGGAUAUAGAUUGGGAAUUUGAUAGAAAAAUAAACCCUGCUUUUGAUUGA
RNA transcript from Mus musculus (house mouse), 1802 nucleotides. It is a transcript of the gene named transmembrane protein 106C, with no coding region annotated. The transcript has 8 exons. The record is from RefSeq and is marked validated. Lineage: Eukaryota; Metazoa; Chordata; Mammalia; Rodentia; Muridae.